Molecule: ribosomal RNA, 253 nt
Filed under: uncultured bacterium
Lineage: Bacteria
Description: partial 16S ribosomal RNA
Rfam family: Bacterial small subunit ribosomal RNA
Source: RNAcentral
GACGUAGGGCGCGAGCGUUGUCCGGAUUUAUUGGGCGUAAAGAGCUCGUAGGCGGCCUGUCGCGUCGACUGUGAAAAACCACGACUCAACCGUGGGACUGCAGUCGAUACGGGCAGGCUAGAGUUCGGUAGGGGAGACUGGAAUUCCUGGUGUAGCGGUGAAAUGCGCAGAUAUCAGGAAGAACACCCGUGGCGAAGGCGGCUCUCUGGGACGGUACUGACGCUGAGACGCGAAAGCGUGGGGAGCGAACAGG